Molecule: ribosomal RNA, 1242 nt
Filed under: Clostridiales bacterium
Lineage: Bacteria; Bacillati; Bacillota; Clostridia; Eubacteriales
Description: bacterial SSU rRNA
Rfam family: Bacterial small subunit ribosomal RNA
Source: RNAcentral
ACGAUGGGUAGCCGACCUGAGAGGGUGAUCGGCCACAUUGGAACUGAGAAACGGUCCAAACUCCUACGGGAGGCAGCAGUGGGGAAUAUUGGGCAAUGGAGGCAACUCUGACCCAGCAACGCCGCGUGAAGGAUGAAGGUCUUCGGAUUGUAAACUUCUGUCGUAUGGGACGAAGAAUGACGGUACCAUACAAGAAAGCCCCGGCUAACUACGUGCCAGCAGCCGCGGUAAUACGUAGGGGGCAAGCGUUGUCCGGAAUGACUGGGCGUAAAGGGAGCGUAGGUGGUUUAGCAAGUUAAGUGUGAAAGCCCAUGGCUUAACCAUGGAACUGCACUUAAAACUGUUGAACUGGAGUACGGGAGAGGUAAAUGGAAUUCCUAGUGUAGCGGUGGAAUGCGUAGAUAUUAGGAGGAACACCAGAGGCGAAGGCGAUUUACUGGACCGCAACUGACACUGAGGCUCGAAAGCGUGGGGAGCAAACAGGAUUAGAUACCCUGGUAGUCCACGCCCUAAACGAUGGAUACUAGACGAAGCGGAGAUUAUUCUGCUGUGUCGAAGCUAACGCGAUAAGUAUCCCGCCUGAGGAGUACGGCCGCAAGGUUAAAACUCAAAGAAAUUGACGGGGACCCGCACAAGCAGCGGAGCAUGUGGUUUAAUUCGAAGCAACGCGAAGAACCUUACCAAGACUUGACAUCGUAUGACCGCUAUAGAGAUAUGGUUUUCCCUUCGGGGACAUAUAGACAGGUGGUGCAUGGUUGUCGUCAGCUCGUGUCGUGAGAUGUUCGGUUAAGUCCGGCAACGAGCGCAACCCUUAUAUCCAGUUGCCAAUAUUAAGUUAGGAACUCUGGAUAGACUGCCGUGGAUAACACGGAGGAAGGUGGGGAUGACGUCAAAUCAUCAUGCCCCUUACGUCUUGGGCUACACACGUGCUACAAUGGGUGCUACAAAGAGCAGCGACCUCGUAAGAGUGAGCAAAUCUCAUAAAAGCAUUCUCAGUUCGGAUUGUGGGCUGCAACCCGCCCACAUGAAGUCGGAGUUGCUAGUAAUCCCGAAUCAGAAUGUCGGGGUGAAUGCGUUCCCGGGUCUUGUACACACCGCCCGUCACGCCAUGGGAGUUGGGGGUAUCCAAAGUCGGUGAGCUAACCGCAAGGGGGCAGCCGCCUAAGGUAAAACCAAUGACUGGGGUGAAGUCGUAACAAGGUAGCCGUAUCAGAAGGUGCGGCUGGAUCACCUCCUUUUAAG